GUUUAUAUAAUUUAAAUAAGAUAUUAGACUGUGACUCUGAUUAUGAGAGUUAAAACCUCUNUAUGG
This 66-nucleotide transfer RNA is filed under the name Aneides flavipunctatus (black salamander). Its description in RNAcentral is "partial tRNA-His". It matches the Rfam family "tRNA". From Rfam's summary of the family: Transfer RNA (tRNA) molecules are approximately 80 nucleotides in length. Their secondary structure includes four short double-helical elements and three loops (D, anti-codon, and T loops). Further hydrogen bonds mediate the characteristic L-shaped molecular structure. tRNAs have two regions of fundamental functional importance: the anti-codon, which is responsible for specific mRNA codon recognition, and the 3' end, to which the tRNAs corresponding amino acid is attached (by aminoacyl-tRNA synthetases). tRNAs cope with the degeneracy of the genetic code in two manners: having more than one tRNA (with a specific anti-codon) for a particular amino acid; and 'wobble' base-pairing, i.e. permitting non-standard base-pairing at the 3rd anti-codon position. Lineage: Eukaryota; Metazoa; Chordata; Amphibia; Caudata; Plethodontidae. The record is from RNAcentral.